RNAcentral lists this ribosomal RNA (321 nucleotides) under uncultured Actinomycetes bacterium. Its description in RNAcentral is "bacterial SSU rRNA". It matches the Rfam family "Bacterial small subunit ribosomal RNA", at positions 29 to 351 of the family's 1533-position model. The record is from RNAcentral. Lineage: Bacteria; Bacillati; Actinomycetota; Actinomycetes.
AACGAACGCUGGCGGCGCGUUUUAAGCAUGCAAGUCGAACGGUAGAGGGAGCUUGCUCCCUUGAGAGUGGCGAACGGGUGAGUAACACGUGAGCAAUCUGCCCUUGACUCUGGGAUAAGCGCUGGAAACGGCGUCUAAUACUGGAUAUGAGCUGUGGCCGCAUGGUCGGCAGUUGGAAAGAAUUUCGGUCAAGGAUGAGCUCGCGGCCUAUCAGCUUGUUGGUGAGGUAAUGGCUCACCAAGGCGUCGACGGGUAGCCGGCCUGAGAGGGUGACCGGCCACACUGGGACUGAGACACGGCCCAGACUCCUACGGGUGGCUG